This 31-nucleotide non-coding RNA is filed under the name Rattus norvegicus (Norway rat). Lineage: Eukaryota; Metazoa; Chordata; Mammalia; Rodentia; Muridae. The record is from RNAcentral.
UGAAACGCCUUCCUACUUAGUUUUUCUGAGU